Long non-coding RNA from Syzygium oleosum, 3003 nucleotides. RefSeq lists it as uncharacterized. The record is from RefSeq and is a predicted model, not a curated record. Lineage: Eukaryota; Viridiplantae; Streptophyta; Magnoliopsida; Myrtales; Myrtaceae. The transcript is spliced from 2 exons.
UUCGCGUCCUGCGUCCUUCGCGCGACUUGGGUAACACGACGACCUGGGAUUCUUGUGGGCUGAUGAUCAAAGCUCUUUUUUUUUUGGUCCAGUUACCAUUGAUUGCUCGUUUCUUCUUCUGCAUUCUAUUCGUUUUUGCUUCGAUUAUCCAAGCGAAGAAGCCUAGCAUCGUCCUUACGUUGCGAACCUUUCGAUGUCUAUCUGGUCGGCAUUGAAAUACGGAUGUCUUGUUGUUCGAAUUCGCGAUCAAGUCUGUUUUUUUGUUUUUUGGGCACUUUCCAAGAUUGCGAAUGAUUGAUUGAGGUUGGCUUAUCUUCUUGGUUCUUCUUAAUUGACUUCCCCGAGCAGUGUUAUCUCGGAGGUGAGGCUGUCCUGGACAUGGGUUUUGCUCUUUUUUAGCUCGUGGGUGAUGAGGAACUGAGCUUGUCUAAGUCUGGCUCGUGUGUGAAAUAUGGAACUUUUGUCUGUGGGAAAGAAUGCUUCAGACUAAGUAUAGCCUAGCCAAUCUGUAGUUAUGAACAUUAUGGUUGGUGUUCAUCGGGCAAUGUUCUGCAGCUGCUCGAAUGCCGUGGAGGGUUCUGAAUUAUGAUAAUCUGGUGUGGAGAGCUUAGACUCUUGAGGGAGGAUUUGAACACGUCGAGUACUGCCAAGUAUUGCAGAGUCUAGCAAGAUAGUCUAUGUUAAGUAGUUCGCGGACUUGCACUUCUUUUGGUGAUCGAAUGGGAUAAUGGCUUACAGGAAGUCGGUGGUGGGUGUAACAUUGAGUUAGCUAUGAUGAUUCUAAUUCUUGUAUUCUUAAUGGCAUUGGUUGCUAAUCAGUACAUGCGCCAGCUCUGACUUUGAAUUAGGAGAUUGAGUGGCUAAUAAAGAAAAGAACCAUAUAAUGGGAAAUGAAGGGGUGAAUGCUGCUUAUUUGUCUCCUCAGAUGGAUUUUGUCCAUGUCUGUACUUGCCAUGAGGUCAUGCUGUUGAUUGAUUAAGAUCUGUCCACGAUUUUUAUCUACCUCUAAGGCUGAGUUUGCCAAUGUUAAGUCAUCUUUCUUUCUUGCUUGAUAUGGCAACAAAUGGUUGUGAUUUUCGUAUUUGCCUUCAAGAACUUAGUCAAAUCCUAGGCGCAUUUCUUAUCUAGUUUAAUGUGCCUGAUAUCCGCCCAAUCCUAUUUAGCAACAGUCACUAAUUGCCAGAUAGGAUAUAGAAUAUCUUAUAAAUGGGCGACCCAACAUGACCAUUAGGAUUGACUAUCCCUUUUGUCAAAGUACCUCAAUAGUCAAGUCAUCUAGAAGGAUAUAUUGAGGGAACCAUUUGGGCCCUUUAGGCAUUACUUCUUUCGAACAUUUCUCAAUUGCAGUACUCCUACCUGAAUUGCUAGUUUUCAUUUCUUCUUGAUGCUAAUCAUAAUUAUGUGUUGAAGGAAUCACAGUGGCAAGCCAAGUGAAGCCAGGUAAAAGCAUUUCUCUUUGAUCAUAUUGGUAGAGAUAUUAGCGAUGAAAAGUCAAUACCUGCUAGAUAAAAAUAUUCAAAUGCUUUAAGCCAAACUCGAUUAAUGUUGGAGUUAUCUUACAUGGCUGGGUAGGCUUUGAUAAAGGAGGUAGAGAGGUGUGUGUCAGGUAGCUGACAAUGGGCACUCCUUAUUCUACAGUUGAAUCUCUAUGAACCAAGUCCUACUGCAAUAUUGUGCAAAAACUAGGUCGUUGCUUAGAAAUGACGCACUGUGUGGCCCGGGUAUAUACUGGCUAAGAAAGAGAAUAAGAAAGCUGUGAGAGGAACGAAUCUGGCAACAAUCAAUGAUGUUUAUAAUCUUUUGAACACCAAAGAAGAAGAAAAGUAUAUGCACAAGUUGGCUAGAGCAAGAAAAAGGACGAGAUCUAAAUAGGCUGAGAUGAGUUAAGGACGAGGAUGAAAAGUCAUAGUCUUAGAAGAAGCAGUUAAAAACAAAUGGAGUAUUUUCAUAAGCUCUUUAAUGGAAUGUUACAAGAGAAGUACUUCACCGGGGGGAACUACAUAAUUUGCAAGAGUGUAGAAACUCCUUCUAUUGACAAAUAAGGAAAUGGGAAGUUUCUAGAGCUUUGAUAAAGAUAAAGAAUGGGCAAGCGGUAGACCCAUGGUUUUACCCAUUGAAGGGUGGAUGGUUAAAGGACUGUGCCAGGGAUGAAUGGACUAGCUAAUGAGCCACAUCAAUGAAGCUGGGGGAGAGAAUUAUCAAGAACGUCAGUGGAGGUAACAGGCAUGUAUUUUUAACACAAUCAAGUGGGUUUUAUCCCAGAGAAAUAUUUUAGAGGAUUCUUGGAAAGAAAGGAGUACAUAUUACUUAUAUAGAAGCGAUAAAGUAUAUGUAUGAUGGUGCCGGUACCACCACUUAGGCCAUGGACAAGAAAUGCAAAAUUUUCCUGGAACCAUAAGGUGGGGACUGCCCCCUCUCCCAAGAGUCCCUAAGAUAUUUUCUCCAAAUAUGGGCUCAUGAAAGCUAAAUGGGCUGUAAAUCUUGGAAGUCUUGAACUGUUGCCUUAACACCUACUAAUAUAUUUUCUUGAACAUUAUACCUGUACCGCAAUAUGGAAUAAGUAUGUGCUGAUUUGUCUUUUAUAAUCUCCUUGUGUUACCACCACCACAUUGGAUCAGUGAUAUUAGAGCUACAACACCCGACAAGUGGUACCAUAACUGGUAUCAUUAGCUUUAUACAACGAGACUUUAUUAGUAUGCAGUCUCGAUGUUAUCUUGUGUUGAUUACUGGUUUUGCAGGCUUUUCAAACAGGGUUUUAUCCACCUGUGAAACUUCCUUUUCAUCGUUUUCCUGGGCUGAUCUCUUGCGAGGUUGUUUCUCUAUGUUAGAAUAUUACUAUUUUGUCAUCUCUAGUUAAAAUUAGACAGCUCAUUCUUGAACUGUUUGAUCACCAUAGGGAACCAUUUUGAAUCUUCAGUAAUACUGCUGAGCAUUCAUAGUGAAUUCCAUAGAAGCAACAAUUCUUUGCUUAUAUGAAAUGUUAAGUUUGCGCAAUGUUAAUAA